CAACAACACACCUAUAUGCCUCUGAAAAUGAAGAAGAAUGCAAGAAAGCCUAAACUGGUAUGCAAGUAAGCCUGACUCCUUCAACACUCUAAAAGAUAUGGAAGAAUUGCAGUUCAUAGAUAUUUGGCUACUGAUUUAACCACUAAUGACAUGUAUGGUCUGCCUCCUUGGAAAAGUCUCUUCGCAGCUCCGUACUUUGAUUUCCCUCCUUGUAAAACUGACUACAGAUAUUUCUACCCCUUGUGAGACGGUUCAAGGAAGUUUCAGGAGAAGGAUGCUAUAUAACGAACAAAGAGACACAAGACAAAAAGCUGGGAAAGGAUCCUGGAAUGCAGGGACCGAUACUCAAUGGCUGCUGGGGAAGAGACAGACAGUUGCUCUCUGUUUGAGCCAUCCUUUGGUCAGAGCAGCAACACAAGGUGCUCCAAGCAAAAAGCAGGGAUCAGCUGCUCGAGCCAUAUCAGCUGCUGGAAAAGUCAAUCCCCAUACUAUCGAGUCCAUACAAAGUAAUUGCUGGCAGUCAUGUGCCUCCCAGCAGUGUGAUUACUUGGCAGUCUCCUGACCUAAACAGUUUCCUGUUUUGCCUAAGCCUAAAGCCAUCCCUGAAUCCAAAUUCCCAGUUUGGCAGAUGAUGGGACGAAUAGGUAUGACAAAGGCUCAGUGACAUUAUGGACAGGCCUAGAGUCAGGCUUUUGGGUGUCUAUGGGUCUCUACUAAUAGUGAUGUAAUGACAGAGGGAUGUAGCUAUCAACAGCAUAUGCAGCAAGUGAGGGAGAGCUGGAGGAUUCUGUGUAUAUACAUACAGCAUCAAUUAUUUCCUGCAUUCUUCUGUGGCUGUAGCUGUAUGUAACUUGUUGUAACUGGAAUGCAACUUUUUUUAUCUGAAAGCACUUAGGGCCAAUGCAUUGAUCCACAUGUAGCGGAAUGAAAACCAACCUUAAAAACAUAGUAAACAGCACCAAAUAUUUAUAAGUAUUUAAAAAUAUUGAUAAAUAAUUGAUCAACAGACAGAAGGAGCAUACAGAAAAUAAAUUCUUCGUAAGAAAUUCCA
Molecule: long non-coding RNA, 1051 nt
Filed under: Dromaius novaehollandiae (emu)
Lineage: Eukaryota; Metazoa; Chordata; Aves; Casuariiformes; Dromaiidae
Description: lncRNA (ENSDNVG00000017208.1)
Source: RNAcentral